GGGUUGUGAGGUUAAGCGACUAAGCGUACACGGUGGAUGCCCUGGCAGUCAGAGGCGAUGAAGGACGUGCUAAUCUGCGAUAAGCGUCGGUGAGGUGAUAUGAACCGUUAUAACCGGCGAUUUCCGAAUGGGGAAACCCAGUGUGUUUCGACACACUAUCAUUAACUGAAUCCAUAGGUUAAUGAGGCGAACCGGGGGAACUGAAACAUCUAAGUACCCCGAGGAAAAGAAAUCAACCGAGAUUCCCCCAGUAGCGGCGAGCGAACGGGGAGCAGCCCAGAGCCUGAAUCAGUGUGUGUGUUAGUGGAAGCGUCUGGAAAGGCGUGCGAUACAGGGUGACAGCCCCGUACACAAAAAUGCACAUACUGUGAGCUCGAUGAGUAGGGCGGGACACGUGGUAUCCUGUCUGAAUAUGGGGGGACCAUCCUCCAAGGCUAAAUACUCCUGACUGACCGAUAGUGAACCAGUACCGUGAGGGAAAGGCGAAAAGAACCCCGGCGAGGGGAGUGAAAAAGAACCUGAAACCGUGUACGUACAAGCAGUGGGAGCCUCUUAAUGGGGUGACUGCGUACCUUUUGUAUAAUGGGUCAGCGACUUAUAUUCUGUAGCAAGGUUAACCGAAUAGGGGAGCCGAAGGGAAACCGAGUCUUAACUGGGCGUUAAGUUGCAGGGUAUAGACCCGAAACCCGGUGAUCUAGCCAUGGGCAGGUUGAAGGUUGGGUAACACUAACUGGAGGACCGAACCGACUAAUGUUGAAAAAUUAGCGGAUGACUUGUGGCUGGGGGUGAAAGGCCAAUCAAACCGGGAGAUAGCUGGUUCUCCCCGAAAGCUAUUUAGGUAGCGCCUCGUGAAUUCAUCUCCGGGGGUAGAGCACUGUUUCGGCAAGGGGGUCAUCCCGACUUACCAACCCGAUGCAAACUGCGAAUACCGGAGAAUGUUAUCACGGGAGACACACGGCGGGUGCUAACGUCCGUCGUGAAGAGGGAAACAACCCAGACCGCCAGCUAAGGUCCCAAAGUCAUGGUUAAGUGGGAAACGAUGUGGGAAGGCCCAGACAGCCAGGAUGUUGGCUUAGAAGCAGCCAUCAUUUAAAGAAAGCGUAAUAGCUCACUGGUCGAGUCGGCCUGCGCGGAAGAUGUAACGGGGCUAAACCAUG
This 1157-nucleotide ribosomal RNA is filed under the name Escherichia coli. RNAcentral describes it as "partial 23S ribosomal RNA". It matches the Rfam family "Bacterial large subunit ribosomal RNA", at positions 1 to 1191 of the family's 2925-position model. The record is from RNAcentral. Lineage: Bacteria; Pseudomonadati; Pseudomonadota; Gammaproteobacteria; Enterobacterales; Enterobacteriaceae.